CCUCAUGAACGUCAACAUCUCCUAGCCUAAAUUCAGCCACUGAGUACUUCAUCAGCGUUGCUGCUGUUGUUGUUCGGCCUGACAGUGUCACUGGUGGAGAAACGAUCCUUCAAAGUGACCCUACAGCUUUACUAGUCAGAACAGGUAGGAUGGACUCUGUUGUGUUGCUCCAGGCUUCCUCCAUUAUGAUGUAUUUGAUCUUCAGCAAUUUAACUUGGUUUUUACGGAUUCUCAUGAGCAGGACAAAGUGGUCACUGUCAAAACGUUGCUCAAGCUCAUGUGUCUGGCUCCUCCUCUGGGGAUUCUGUAUUAUAUCCUGAAAAAAAAUGAUGAUGAUGAUGAUGAUGAUGAUUUUGAGUCAGAUCAUGAUGUCCGAUCAGUGGAGAUCUCAACUGAGGAGACAAUUAUUGAUGUGAUCCCUGUGAAAACCAGAGGGAUUGGCUAAAGAAAGGGGGGAAAUGUAUUCUAUACCUCUACACACUUUAGUAACCUUGUUCAUGAUGGCAUGAUUUGUUUACAAAUGUAAACAUGAAAUAUUCUCAACAAGGUGAAUAUAUAACUGAUAGAAAAAGGUAAGUUUUGUAACCAGGAAAACAGGGCUAAUGAAAAAUUACAGAAGUGAACACAACUGGUCGGUUUGAGGAAAACAAGCCUUUGAGAAACUGAUCAGGUGGUCACCUUACCUGGUUAGUGACGAGAACACAGACAUGAAAAUGAUCCAUGUGUCCCUGUAGAUCAUUUACUUCACUGCUUUGUUCUCCUCCAUAUUAGCAUAAAGUAUCACAGCAUUUCCACUGACAUGGUACAGGUGCUGUAAUCGCACCCAUUUCUGCUGAGCUGACUACCUUGUCUGAGUCCGCUUUCACACUAAUAUUGUUGAUCUGUUCCUGAGGACAAUUGUUUAUCUACACACCCAGAUUAAGUAGGUGGUAUGUACCUAGUUGGUUUACAAUCCACAAAUAAACACAAAGAAAAAGAGUACACUGAAUUACACAUUCUAAACAGUAGUACGCUUCUCUGUUUUAGUACUGUUGUUUUCACACUUAAAGUGAAGUGUACCAGACAGACAGAUAGCUAGACCAGAAGAUAUGGCAAGUGAGUAGUCAUAUCAGGUGACCCACAAUAUCCAAAAUAACGAUACACUACUCCACUGAGCAGUGAAGUGUAGCUGUACACACAGUACAUGGCCUAUGAUGGUGUGUAUUUCCUGUUAAAAGGAAGAGUAGUCCCUCAAUUUCUGAGGUAUUUUUGUGUCAUAUUUACCAUAAUCUUAUCAUCUCGUCCACUAAAACUGACAGCCUACCUGCAUCACUUUAUUGUUUAGUCAUUUUUGAGAUAAUGGAUCAUACCAUCACUUUUAUAGCUUCAUCAUAACAUGUUAGCACAACUGAUAUACAGUGGACACAUGGAUGACUGUAGUGUCGACAAAGACAGUUCCCUUAAAGCUAGGAAACACAGUGUAAUCUGUUUUCAUGAGGCCCUCUUUCUUUCCAGAUUAAGUUAAGUUUUAGAUUAGUACUGUAAAUUAAACGUACAUAGUUAAAUCUUCUCUUGAUGUGGUUUCAUUAUUAAACUGUAGGUUGCAUAAGUUUGAACUAGCCUUUCUGCAACCUCUGAAAAUGAAAAUUUUGACACAUAAAAUGAUAAAUGAAACCUCACGCAGGGAUUAUCCAGUUAGUUAGUUAGUUAUCUUAUUUCAAAAGGCCAAAGGUCGUUAUUAAAUGUGAAAUGGUCCAGUGUUAAUUAAGAAAGUUAACCUUUAUCUGGUGUCUCUGGCCAGAUGUUAUAAUGGACCCUAAAAAUUGAUCUAAAGCCUUAACUAUUUUUUAUUUUUUAUUUAUUUUAUUUUAUUUCAAAUCAAGACUUAAAAGGAAACCUUAAUGUGAACUUGACGGCACAUUCUGAAAGUAUUAGUCAUAUCAUGAAGAUAUCACUUUAUCCAAAAGUAUUAGGCAUUAUUUUUAUUUUGCACUUUUAUGUUUUGUUUGUUAGUUUUUUUGUUUGUUUUGUUGUUUUCUAUUAAUGCAUGCUGACUAAAUCAGAUAAAAUUCUAUACAUUUUUUAAAAUGUCAUUUUUAGGAGACAGUGUCAACAGGUCAUACCUAAUGUGUCAAAUGUAGUCAGUCCUUUGGGGGUGUUAGAUUUAUUUGGAUGUUUUGGACCCAAAGCAAAAAAAAUUUACAUUUCGAAGCAGUAAAACAACAUUUACUCUUUUUUGAAAUGAAAUACAGUUUUGAAAAAUAACCUACGCCUACAUCACAGUAGGCAAUAAACACAUAAAGUAUUCUGACCACAAAUCUUGCCAUUCUCAUGUGCCUCUCAUGUGGCUUUUAGAUUACUUUUUUUUUUAAAUCUGUGGUGCACUCAGGAGAUUGUAUGACAUCCUGUUCAGGGUGUUGAAUGUCACCUUAUUCUGCCUUUGUAAUGCGACAUUCAUUAUAAUGCUGUUUGUUAACUAUUUCCAAGUUAUACUUGUCAUGAAAGUAUGAUGGAAAACCAGCAAGUGUAUAACUGUGAUUUCUAAUAAUAUAAUUUAUUUAGUUAUUGCCAGCCGGAUCAGGAUAAGCAUUAUAAGGGGAGGAUAGAUUAACAGAGUUAAAAUGAUUCAUUAAGGCUAAUUCAAGUUUUUUACAAUUCCGUUUUCUAAAAUUGAUACUUUCCCUUAAUGAGCUUCCUUGCCACUGUAGCUCACAGUAGUGACAGUGAAUAUCAAAGGAUAGCACAUUCUUUUACAUGCUUUGUUUUUUGUUUUUUUUGUUUUUUUAAGUUCAAUGCUUUCUAAGACCUGCACAUAACCACACUGUAAGCAACUUGUUGCUGUCUUCGUUGGCUGCUCAUGUAAUAAGAGAAAUGUAAUAAAUGAAUACAGUA
Molecule: RNA transcript, 2871 nt
Organism: Lates calcarifer (barramundi perch)
Lineage: Eukaryota; Metazoa; Chordata; Actinopteri; Centropomidae
Exons: 3
Source: RefSeq, a predicted model, not a curated record